Molecule: non-coding RNA, 315 nt
Organism: Pelobates cultripes (western spadefoot toad)
Lineage: Eukaryota; Metazoa; Chordata; Amphibia; Anura; Pelobatidae
Source: the annotation of a GenBank genome assembly
GAUUGCUUGGGCGUGGUAUUAGACAGUCAUGAGAUGUAAUCCAUAGUAUACCGAAAAAUUACUUAACAAGAAAAAACAACAACAUGAAAAAGGAAUCACGUACUUUCUCAAAACAUACUCCAUUGGCACUGACCUAUUUUAAGCGAAAUGGAGAGUCGGGUGGGACAAGUGUUAUAUGCAAGCGGAGUUAUGGCCCUUCAAGGUAAAUCAUUGCUGUUUAUCUCAGAGUGGGUGCCUUAGGUGCAGUGAUAAUUGGAGCAUAUGGUCAGAGAUUGAGGUGGGCCCCAUGGCCUGUUUGUGUCCGGGAGCUGCGUU